Molecule: ribosomal RNA, 253 nt
Filed under: uncultured bacterium
Lineage: Bacteria
Description: partial 16S ribosomal RNA
Rfam family: Bacterial small subunit ribosomal RNA
Source: RNAcentral
UACGUAGGGUCCAAGCGUUGUCCGGAUUUAUUGGGCGUAAAGAGCUCGUAGGCGGCUCAGUAAGUCGGAUGUGAAAACUCGAGGCUUAACCUCGAGCUGUCGGCGGAAACCAUCUGGCUAGAGUCCGGAAGAGGAGAAUGGAAUUCCCGGUGUAGCGGUGAAAUGCGCAGAUAUCGGGAAGAACACCCGUGGCGAAGGCGGUUCUCUGGGACGGUACUGACGCUGAGACGCGAAAGCGUGGGGAGCGAACAGG